AAAAGAAAAAAGAAAAAAUGCUCCUGCUGGAUCAGUUUUUUUAAGAGCUUUUAGCAAGUAACCUUUUGCCUAUAGACUACAUUUUCUCAUUCAUGUACUCUUCCUCAAAGUAAAUUUCACUAAAAUAAUUUGUUAACUAAAAAGAAUAAAUGAUAGUCUUUUUUUAUCAUUUAACUAAAAAGAUUUCAGUUUGGAACCUCAUAUUUACCAAAAUCUCACAGCUUUUAAGUCCAAAAAUGGGGAAAAAGAAUCAUGCAAUCUAAACAUAUUUUGGGCUUAAAGCACUAUGAGCUUUGGAUGUGUUAGACUAAAAGCUAUAUGAGCUUAAAACAAUUUUUUUUCAGAAAAAAGUU
RNAcentral lists this long non-coding RNA (353 nucleotides) under Carica papaya (papaya). Its description in RNAcentral is "long non-coding RNA (CPAP_LNC011457)". The record is from RNAcentral. Lineage: Eukaryota; Viridiplantae; Streptophyta; Magnoliopsida; Brassicales; Caricaceae.